GGUAGUCACUGUAUUUUAUUGGAAAACAUUGAUAUAUAUUUUUCUUCACAGCUUGAACUGAACACAAUAUUGCCCGGUUUAAAAAAAACAAAACCAAAACAUUCCGAAAAUGUCCACAGCCUCACGCCUACCUGCCCUUACCCUCAGCUCUUGGCUGGGUCUCCCACUAUGCCCCAUCCCUCCUUCCCUCAGAGGCGAGGGCAAAAGGAAGAGAUGAGGGGCAUGGAGAGAGACUCAGGGAAGAAGGAGAAAGAGCAAUCAUGCAGCUUGGGACAAAUCUUUUGUUGCUUUAUCAGAUUCUCAGUCAAUCAAUUGGUGUUUGCUAGAACCGGGGUACGCAGGGGAGUGUUGAAGAGAGAGUGCGCGCGCGAGAAGAGAGAGAUCAAGAGAACGGGCAUCGCCAGCUGCCCGGGGGGCCUUCACUUUGCAGUCAUCAUCUGUACAAACUCUGUGGAGUGAAGCAGAGAGAGAGGAGGUCAGGCGGGCAGGCUAAGUGGCGAGCGGCCCUCCCCAACAAGAGGGAUCUGGGGGCUUGUUCCUGAAGCUGCGAUUCUCUUCUUGUUCCAGAGAUCAAGCCUGGCCUUGACUCACCUUCAUAAUUGACCUGGCCAUCUCCAUCGAUGUCAGCCUCCCUGAUCAUCUCAUCCACCUCCUCAUCGGUCAGCUUCUCCCCCAGGUUCGUCAUUACGUGACGCAGCUCUGCGGCGCUGAUGUAGCCAUUCCCAUCCUGGGGGUUGGGGAUAAAGCCUUUCACUGGGCACUUCUCCCGGUGGGGAGAGAGGCAGUGAGAGGGGUGGCUGUCAUCACCAUCCCUCAGCAGUGAGCACAGUGAGGGAGGCUGCCUGAGGUGGCAGAGCAGGUUGGCAAUGAGGCUGGCACCGGGACCCGGACCUCCUGGAAGUGGUAGCUCCGUGGCUCCAGUUCCGCCUGUCUGCCUGAAGGCUGGCGUCAGUCUCAGAGCCGCCCCUGGAGAGGGCUGCUUACCUUGUCAAAGACACGGAACGCCUCUCGGAUCUCCUCCUCACUGUCUGUGUCCUUCAUCUUUCUGGCCAUCAUGGUCAGGAACUCCGGGAAGUCAAUGGUCCCGUUCCCUGGAAGGUGGGGAAAGGAUGGAGAAUGCUCUUGGCCUGGGCCCUGAGAGACACGGGCUCAUCCAUCACCCUGAGAGAGGCUCCCUGCAGUCACUCGGGGUGACCAGGAGCAGGGCUGCCCACGCGCUCUGUGGGGCUCACCAUCUGCAUCCACCUCAUUGAUCAUAUCCUGCAGCUCUGCUUCAGUGGGGUUCUGUCCCAGGGAUCUCAUCACUGUCCCCAACUCCUUGGUGGUGAUAGUGCCAUCUCCAUCCUUGUCAAAGAGGGAGAAGGCCUCCUUGAACUCUGGGGGAAGAAGGGGGAGGAGUCAGAGGUCACAAGGUCCACAGGAGAAUCCUUACCUCUGGAUGCUGGAUGCCUUCCCUGGAGGAAGGCCAAGGGCAUCAGUCCCACCUAAAGAAACUGAGACAGACUUCAAGUCCCACGCAACCAGCUCUCUCUCCUCAGUGCUCAGGGCAAAGCCCUUCCAACCUUCAUUCAACAGUUAUUGAACAUCAACACUGUGCUAGGUGAAGCUAUUUUUCUGGCCAGCCAGUGAAGACAGUGGGGAAAAUGGUCUGACAGCUGUCCUUAGAUGAUUCUACAUUUCUGUUUGGUCCCUGGCUUUGACUUCUCCCUUGAAAUGAUGAAAUGAACCAAAGUCAUGGAGUGA
RNAcentral lists this long non-coding RNA (1743 nucleotides) under Homo sapiens (human). RNAcentral's name for it is "HSALNT0398320". Lineage: Eukaryota; Metazoa; Chordata; Mammalia; Primates; Hominidae. The record is from RNAcentral.